Molecule: transfer RNA, 72 nt
Filed under: Candidatus Pacearchaeota archaeon
Lineage: Archaea; Nanobdellati
Description: tRNA-Thr
Rfam family: tRNA
About the family: Transfer RNA (tRNA) molecules are approximately 80 nucleotides in length. Their secondary structure includes four short double-helical elements and three loops (D, anti-codon, and T loops). Further hydrogen bonds mediate the characteristic L-shaped molecular structure. tRNAs have two regions of fundamental functional importance: the anti-codon, which is responsible for specific mRNA codon recognition, and the 3' end, to which the tRNAs corresponding amino acid is attached (by aminoacyl-tRNA synthetases). tRNAs cope with the degeneracy of the genetic code in two manners: having more than one tRNA (with a specific anti-codon) for a particular amino acid; and 'wobble' base-pairing, i.e. permitting non-standard base-pairing at the 3rd anti-codon position.
Source: RNAcentral
GCCUCCGUAGUUCAGCGGUGGAAUGCGUCCUUGGUAAGGACGAGGUCCCGGGUUCGAUUCCCGGCGGAGGCU